UCUCAGAGGGGUUUUUAUUAAUAACUUAUAUUGGUUCAGCAACCUCAUGUUUGUAUGGCAUUGUAUAGUUUUGUAAAAUAUACAACUGAAUUGGAAAACUCUCUAUGGAAAAUAAAUGUGGGGAAAGUGAGGCUCUACACAUUCAGAAACAUGGUGGAAACCCGGUUAGCUGGGGCACUGGGGCUUGGUUCCUUGAACUUGCUGUCCGGUUUGUGUCCUUACUGGGUCCAUCGCCGGGGCAUCAAGUUUCAGCUGAAGGCAUCUAUGGCAGGAAGUGGGGAUGUACACAGGCUUACUUGUCCCUCGAAGCUGGGAAUGAGUGAGGGAGAUCUUCCAGAACCUCGCCAUCUCCACCUAGUGAUUUUUUUGGGUCCUCUCCCUGGCUUCUCCUGCUGUUAGCUCAGGAACGUAGCCAUCCCCCUCAGUGUUCCUGAAUUGCCAUGGUAACUGACAGAUUUCUGUAUCUAAGGUGCGGAUCCCAUUGUUUCGUAGCUCUCUAUUCUUUAACAGGAAGCCCAAUUCAUAAGUAUUAUUGCAUUCAAAACUCACAUUCCUCACUCAUAAAAAUCACUUUGUCCCUGAGAGCUGCAUUCUAGCACUCCUCCCUCUUGCCGCCUUCUGGAAAAUGAACCUGGGGGCAGGAAGAGAGAAGAGAAGGAAAGGAGAGACACCAGGUGGGAAGCUCUGACCAGCAUCCGGGACACUGUACGCUACGAAAGAACCAGAAGCCAGAGAGGCUGUUUUACCAUCAUCGAAGAGCAGAAAGGCAUACAGGACACCAGGGAUCUGGCUCCUUCACGUACCACAUGGGCUAUGUUUUUUCAGGACUAAUUCCAUUCCAGGGAGGCUCUGAUCCUGUGGUCCUGUGAUGACUGAAGGCAACUUCGGGGACUAUGUGCGACUUAAUUCAUGUUCAUCAGUUAAUGCAAUCCACCUUCCAGUCAUGCAAACCAAAGUUACAGAAUUGCUCUAGCUGUG
Tupaia belangeri chinensis (Chinese tree shrew) is the source of this 978-nucleotide long non-coding RNA. RefSeq lists it as uncharacterized. The transcript is spliced from 3 exons. The record is from RefSeq and is a predicted model, not a curated record. Lineage: Eukaryota; Metazoa; Chordata; Mammalia; Scandentia; Tupaiidae.